Molecule: microRNA precursor, 81 nt
Organism: Chlorocebus sabaeus (green monkey)
Lineage: Eukaryota; Metazoa; Chordata; Mammalia; Primates; Cercopithecidae
Source: Ensembl
CUAUUAGGUUGGUGCAAAAGUAAUUGUGGUUUUUGAAAGUAACUUGGCGAAAACCACAAUGACUUUGCACCAACCUAGUAC